Molecule: long non-coding RNA, 1346 nt
Organism: Hirundo rustica (Barn swallow)
Lineage: Eukaryota; Metazoa; Chordata; Aves; Passeriformes; Hirundinidae
Exons: 3
Source: RefSeq, a predicted model, not a curated record
CCAGUGUCACACCCUGCAAGACCCUCUGUGUGGAGCAGAGUGCUGACACCUGGGCAGCUCAGGUGUGUGAGCUGCAGGAGAGGUAUUUGAAUUUCCUGGUGUCUGCGCUACAGCGAGCACAAAACAAAGGCAUGGCAUAGCUCCCCUGUGUCCACCUCAGGCCCUUCCUGAGAAAGACAGAACAAUUCAAUCAAGAUUCCCGAGGAAAAAUGCCCACACCUGGGAGAAAGCUUAUUCUGUGGCCUCCAGGUGCAGGUACUGGUGUCUUUGUGGAUUAUUCCUGAAGGGCUGUGUGCUUCCCAUUUCCCCGCAGCUGUGCCUCACCCCGCCAGGGCUCAGUUGUGGUUUAACCCCAGCAGCAGCUGAGCCCCACACGGGUGCUCACUCACUCCCCACUGAUGGGGGAGAGAAUCUGAAGUGAGAAACUCACGGCUUGAGGUGAAGACAGUUCAACAGGGGAGGCAAAAGCCAAGCAAGCAUGCACAAGCAAGGUGAAACAAGGAAUACACUCACCCCUUAUCAGCAGGCAGGAGUCCAGCCAUCUCCAGGAGAGCAGGGCUUCAUCACAUGUGACAGUGGCUUGGGAAGACAAAUGCCAUCCCACUGCACUUCUCCAUACUGAGCGCGAUGCCACAUGGUGUGGGACAGCCCUUGGGUCAGCUGUCCUGGCUGUGUCCUCUCCUGACUCUUUUUGCCUCCCCAGUCUCCUCUCUGGUGAGGAACAGAAAAGGCCUUGACUCUGUGUAAACACUGCUCAGCAAUUACAAAAACAUCCCUGGAUUGUCAACACUGUUUCCAGCACAAAUGCAGAACACAGUGCCAUAUAAACCACUAUGGAAAAAUUAAAACCAGCACAGGUUCUUGGUGUUUUCACCUUUUCUUGAACAUUCCUGUCCCUUCGCUGUCCUUCUCCCUUGGCAGUGCUGAUAUACACUCCAGAUUGGUUCAGGGCUGUGCUCAGUCUGAACAGAAAACUGCCUUGAGACUGCAGUUCAGUCAUUUUUACGGACAGACCCUACAGACCAUCAGAUACUGACUUCACUGAACUGUCCUGCCUGUUCCUUCAGUGUGUUGUGAUCACUGGUCCCUCAAGCUUCCACCUUCUCCUGGCUCUACCAGCAGUGCUGUCUCCUGUGAGUUGAGUGACUCCCAAGAGGAUUUUGGUUUUUAACUCCCUCUUCUCCUUCCCUGAUACCAUAAGUGUCUCAAGUGAAGCAGCCGUGCUCGUAACAGUGCAGAUUUCUGGUGGGAUUUGAGCCACGAGAGCAGGGAGCUGCUUUGGAAUACUUCAUCUUGGGAUGGUGUCCUUUGGCCACUGGACCCUUCUCUGCUGCAGGAUCAAGUGA